Molecule: ribosomal RNA, 377 nt
Filed under: uncultured Pseudomonas sp.
Lineage: Bacteria; Pseudomonadati; Pseudomonadota; Gammaproteobacteria; Pseudomonadales; Pseudomonadaceae
Description: bacterial SSU rRNA
Rfam family: Bacterial small subunit ribosomal RNA
Source: RNAcentral
UGGAUUGGUGCCUUCGGGAACUCUGACACAGGUGCUGCAUGGCUGUCGUCAGCGUCGUGUCGUGAGAUGUUGGGUUAAGUCCCGUAACGAGCGCAACCCUUGUCCUUAGUUACCAGCACGUUAUGGUGGGCACUCUAAGGAGACUGCCGGUGACAAACCGGAGGAAGGUGGGGAUGACGUCAAGUCAUCAUGGCCCUUACGGCCUGGGCUACACACGUGCUACAAUGGUCGGUACAAAGGGUUGCCAAGCCGCGAGGUGGAGCUAAUCCCAUAAAACCGAUCGUAGUCCGGAUCGCAGUCUGCAACUCGACUGCGUGAAGUCGGAAUCGCUAGUAAUCGUGAAUCAGAAUGUCACGGUGAAUACGUUCCCGGGCCUU